GAUGAACGCUGGCGGCGUGCCUAAUACAUGCAAGUCGAGCGAACGGACGAGAAGCUUGCUUCUCUGAUGUUAGCGGCGGACGGGUGAGUAACACGUGGAUAACCUACCUAUAAGACUGGGAUAACUUCGGGAAACCGGAGUUAAUACCGGAUAAUAUUUUGAACCGCAUGGUUCAAAAGUGAAAGACGGUCUUGCUGUCACUUAUAGAUGGAUCCGCGCUGCAUUAGCUAGUUGGUAAGGUAACGGCUUACCAAGGCAACGAUGCAUAGCCGACCUGAGAGGGUGAUCGGCCACACUGGAACUGAGACACGGUCCAGACUCCUACGGGAGGCAGCAGUAGGGAAUCUUCCGCAAUGGGCGAAAGCCUGACGGAGCAACGCCGCGUGAGUGAUGAAGGUCUUCGGAUCGUAAAACUCUGUUAUUAGGGAAGAACAUAUGUGUAAGUAACUGUGCACAUCUUGACGGUACCUAAUCAGAAAGCCACGGCUAACUACGUGCCAGCAGCCGCGGUAAUACGUAGGUGGCAAGCGUUAUCCGGAAUUAUUGGGCGUAAAGCGCGCGUAGGCGGUUUUUUAAGUCUGAUGUGAAAGCCCACGGCUCAACCGUGGAGGGUCAUUGGAAACUGGAAAACUUGAGUGCAGAAGAGGAAAGUGGAAUUCCAUGUGUAGCGGUGAAAUGCGCAGAGAUAUGGAGGAACACCAGUGGCGAAGGCGACUUUCUGGUCUGUAACUGACGCUGAUGUGCGAAAGCGUGGGGAUCAAACAGGAUUAGAUACCCUGGUAGUCCACGCCGUAAACGAUGAGUGCUAAGUGUUAGGGGGUUUCCGCCCCUUAGUGCUGCAGCUAACGCAUUAAGCACUCCGCCUGGGGAGUACGACCGCAAGGUUGAAACUCAAAGGAAUUGACGGGGACCCGCACAAGCGGUGGAGCAUGUGGUUUAAUUCGAAGCAACGCGAAGAACCUUACCAAAUCUUGACAUCCUUUGACAACUCUAGAGAUAGAGCUUUCCCCUUCGGGGGACAAAGUGACAGGUGGUGCAUGGUUGUCGUCAGCUCGUGUCGUGAGAUGUUGGGUUAAGUCCCGCAACGAGCGCAACCCUUAAGCUUAGUUGCCAUCAUUAAGUUGGGCACUCUAAGUUGACUGCCGGUGACAAACCGGAGGAAGGUGGGGAUGACGUCAAAUCAUCAUGCCCCUUAUGAUUUGGGCUACACACGUGCUACAAUGGACAAUACAAAGGGCAGCGAAACCGCGAGGUCAAGCAAAUCCCAUAAAGUUGUUCUCAGUUCGGAUUGUAGUCUGCAACUCGACUACAUGAAGCUGGAAUCGCUAGUAAUCGUAGAUCAGCAUGCUACGGUGAAUACGUUCCCGGGUCU
RNAcentral lists this ribosomal RNA (1372 nucleotides) under uncultured bacterium. Its description in RNAcentral is "bacterial SSU rRNA". It matches the Rfam family "Bacterial small subunit ribosomal RNA", at positions 28 to 1381 of the family's 1533-position model. The record is from RNAcentral.